Molecule: ribosomal RNA, 449 nt
Filed under: uncultured bacterium
Lineage: Bacteria
Description: partial 16S ribosomal RNA
Rfam family: Bacterial small subunit ribosomal RNA
Source: RNAcentral
AACGAACGCUGGCGGCAUGCCUAACACAUGCAAGUCGAACGAGAUCUUCAGGUCUAGUGGCGCACGGGUGCGUAUCGCGUGGGAAUCUGCCCUUUGGUUCGGAAUAACAGUUGGAAACGACUGCUAAUACCGGAUGAUGACGAAAGUCCAAAGAUUUAUCGCCAGAGGAUGAGCCCGCGUAGGAUUAGCUAGUUGGUGUGGUAAAGGCGCACCAAGGCGACGAUCCUUAGCUGGUCUGAGAGGAUGAUCAGCCACACUGGGGCUGAGACACGGCCCAGACUCCUGCGGGAGGCAGCAGUGGGGAAUAUUGGACAAUGGGCGAAAGCCUGAUCCAGCAAUGCCGCGUGAGUGAUGAAGGCCUUAGGGUUGUAAAGCUCUUUUACCCGGGAUGAUAAUGACAGUACCGGGAGAAUAAGCUCCGGCUAACUCCGUGCCAGCAGCCGCCGUAA